CUGGCGGCAUGCUUAACACAUGCAAGUCGAACGGAAACGAUGGAGCUUGCUCCAGGCGUCGAGUGGCGGACGGGUGAGUAACGCAUGGGAAUCUGCCUUUUGCUGGGGGAUAACGUAGGGAAACUUACGCUAAUACCGCAUAAGACCUAAGGGUGAAAGCGGGGGACCGAAAGGCCUCGCGGCAAGAGAUGAGCCCAUGUUGGAUUAGCUAGUUGGUGGGGUAAAGGCCUACCAAGGCGACGAUCCAUAGCUGGUCUGAGAGGAUGAUCAGCCACACUGGGACUGAGACACGGCCCAGACUCCUACGGGAGGCAGCAGUGGGGAAUAUUGGACAAUGGGGGGAACCCUGAUCCAGCAAUGCCGCGUGUGUGAAGAAGGCCUUCGGGUUGUAAAGCACUUUCAGUAGGGAGGAAAGGUGCGUAGUUAAUACCUGCGCAAUUGACGUUACCUACAGAAGAAGCACCGGCUAACUCCGUGCCAGCAGCCGCGGUAAUACGGAGGGUGCGAGCGUUAUUCGGAAUUACUGGGCGUAAAGCGCACGCAGGCGGUUGC
This 552-nucleotide ribosomal RNA is filed under the name Cardiobacterium hominis. RNAcentral's name for it is "bacterial SSU rRNA". It matches the Rfam family "Bacterial small subunit ribosomal RNA", at positions 36 to 582 of the family's 1533-position model. Lineage: Bacteria; Pseudomonadati; Pseudomonadota; Gammaproteobacteria; Cardiobacteriales; Cardiobacteriaceae. The record is from RNAcentral.